AGCAGCCGCGGUAAUUCCAGCUCCAAUAGCGUAUAUUAAAGUUGUUGCAGUUAAAAAGCUCGUAGUUGAAUUUCGGAGUUCUACCGUUGGUCAGGCUUUGUCUGUACUGACGUGUAGAAUUUCUACCUUCUGGGGAACCAUCAUGUUAUUAAUUUAGUGUGAUGGGAAACCAGGACCUUUACCUUGAAAAAUUAGAGUGUUCAAAGCAGGCUUAUGUCUGAAUACAUUAGCAUGGAAUAAUAGAAUAGGACGGUGGUCCUGUUUUGUUGGUUUCUGAAUCACCGUAAUGAUUAAUAGGGAUAGUUGGGGGCAUUAGUAUUCAAUUGUCAGAGGUGAAAUUCUUGGAUUUAUUGAAGACUAACUUCUGCGAAAGCAUUUGCCAAGGAUGUUUUCAUUAAUCAAGAACGAAAGUUAGGGGAUCGAAGACGAUCAGAUACCGUCGUAGUCUUAACCAUAAACUAUGCCGACUAGGGA
RNAcentral lists this ribosomal RNA (474 nucleotides) under uncultured Scutellospora. RNAcentral's name for it is "SSU rRNA". It matches the Rfam family "Eukaryotic small subunit ribosomal RNA", at positions 569 to 1052 of the family's 1831-position model. Lineage: Eukaryota; Fungi; Glomeromycota; Glomeromycetes; Diversisporales; Gigasporaceae. The record is from RNAcentral.